GAUCCGUGACCAGCAGGGCGGCGUGUGUAAUUCUCCUGGAAAGAGGUGCAAUGAAUGGUGAAAGCCCAGUUCAACACACGUCUCGCGCUGCGUACCGUCCGGAAUCUCGGAGUCGCGUUCCCUGGGACGGGAGCGUAAAUCAGAUGGUAUAUUUCAUCUAAAGCUAAAUAUCUUCUCGAGACCGAUAGAGAACAAGUACCAUGAGGGAAAGAUGAAAAGUACUUUGAAAAGAGGGUUAGACGCGCCUGCAACCACUGUAUUACAAGCACUUGGAUCCUUCCAGUUUACUGGAUCAGCGAGUCCCCACCGGGUGUGCAGCGCUGGCCAACCAAGGUCACGCUCGUCCCCAUUCCGGGCUCGUGGAAUCCGGUAGAUAUUAUCGGCGCAACUAGCA
RNAcentral lists this ribosomal RNA (394 nucleotides) under Euduboscquella cachoni. RNAcentral's name for it is "LSU rRNA". It matches the Rfam family "Eukaryotic large subunit ribosomal RNA", at positions 151 to 513 of the family's 3401-position model. The record is from RNAcentral. Lineage: Eukaryota; Dinophyceae; Syndiniales; Eudubosquellidae.